This 437-nucleotide ribosomal RNA is filed under the name uncultured Oscillospiraceae bacterium. Its description in RNAcentral is "bacterial SSU rRNA". It matches the Rfam family "Bacterial small subunit ribosomal RNA", at positions 341 to 792 of the family's 1533-position model. The record is from RNAcentral. Lineage: Bacteria; Bacillati; Bacillota; Clostridia; Eubacteriales; Oscillospiraceae.
ACGGAAGGCAGCAGUGGGGAAUAUUGGGCAAUGGGCGAAAGCCUGACCCAGCGACGCCGCGUGAGGGAAGACGGUCUUCGGAUUGUAAACCUCUUUCAGCAGGGAAGAAGGCAGUGACGGUACCUGCAGAAGAAGUCACGGCUAGCUACGUGCCAGCAGCCGCGGUAAUACGUAGGUGGCGAGCGUUAUCCGGAAUUACUGGGUGUAAAGGGUGUGUAGGCGGAGGAGCAAGUCAGGUGUGAAAAUUGUGGGCUCAACCCACAAACUGCACUUGAAACUGUUCCCCUUGAGAGUGGGAGAGGUAAACGGAAUUCCUGGUGUAGUAGUGAAAUGCGUAGAUAUCAGGAGGAACACCGGUGGCGAAGGCGGUUUACUGGACCACAACUGACGCUGAGACACGAAAGCGUGGGGAGCAAACAGGAUUAGAUACCCUGGUA